This 583-nucleotide long non-coding RNA is filed under the name Homo sapiens (human). RNAcentral describes it as "long independently transcribed non-coding RNA 2359, transcript variant 13 (LINC02359)". Lineage: Eukaryota; Metazoa; Chordata; Mammalia; Primates; Hominidae. The record is from RNAcentral.
ACAGUACAUCACCUUCAUGAGCGCAUCAGUGAACACCAGUCUAAGGAAGACAUCUCUGAACGUAAUUUUGGAGAUUUUGAUGAGUUCCAUUGAAACAAGGAGGAAUGUGAUGUCCAGUAUCAGUUCUGCAGACCCAAGGACAAAGAAAAUUCUGUGAUAAACUCAUCCAGUGUGACUGUAAUGUGGGUAUCUAUUUGAUACCUCCAAGUAACUGUUUAUUCUUGUGCCAGUUGAGUAGAUGGUACGGGCCAGUUGGUGUUGAUUAGUGAACCACGGACAAAGGGCAUAUGUCACAUGAGUUGCUCCUGGAUAAAGUCACCCAGUCACUUCCUGAUGAAUAUCCUGCAUAAACUCCAAAGACAAAAGAGAGAUACAAGACACCGGACUUUCAAAUCAACAAUUGUUUCAAAAGACUCCUACUGGAUUCCUGCUAGUGAUGGGAGAAAAUUAUCAUUCUAUGAAAAGAAUAUGUCUAAGAUCCUGUUAACAGCAGAACUUAGACUGCUAGCCCUGCUGGAAAUUUUCCAUGCUCUUCAUUCGUUCUCCUGUAUUUCCUAACGCCAAUAAAAGAGGAGAUCCCUGA